UACAGAGGUCUCAAGCGUUGUUCGGAUUCAUUGGGCGUAAAGGGUGCGUCGGUGGCGCGCUAAGUCAGGUGUGAAAUUUCGGAGCUUAACUCCGAAACUGCAUUUGAUACUGGUGUGCUUGAGGACUGGAGAGGAGACUGGAAUUUACGGUGUAGCAGUGAAAUGCGUAGAGAUCGUAAGGAAGACCAGUGGCGAAGGCGGGUCUCUGGACAGUUCCUGACACUGAGGCACGAAGGCCAGGGGAGCAAACGGG
RNAcentral lists this ribosomal RNA (253 nucleotides) under uncultured bacterium. RNAcentral's name for it is "partial 16S ribosomal RNA". It matches the Rfam family "Bacterial small subunit ribosomal RNA", at positions 524 to 776 of the family's 1533-position model. The record is from RNAcentral.